ACUAGAGAUAUCAGAGCAAGUAUAUAGCUAGGUUCUAACAUCAGGUAGAAUCAAAAGAAAAUCAUACUACUAAAGCAUAAAGUAAACUGAUACAUCAUAAAUCAAAAGAUACAAAUAUAGGGUGGUCUCUAUAACCAGGUACAAAACUCUCACAACCUCUCUAAAAGAAAACAAAAGAGAGGUGGGCCACCUAUCACCAAGUCCCUUGAUAGCUAACUCGAGGCGAAACCUUUCCCGCGAUCCCGAGCCUCUCCCGGAGUGGAAGGCUCUGAAAGAAAACAUAAAACAGGGGGCGUGAGAACUAUAAAUUAUAGUUCCCAGUGGGCAAUUACUGACUUGCACCAAAUUGCACCACAAGGCCCAAAACAAGCAGAUAUAGAUAACAGGAAAUAUCAACAGUAAUCGAAGCAUGAAAUUAAAAUGCUACUCUACUAUGCCACAAGUAUUCUGAAUGUCAACAUGGAGUACAUCUACUCUACAUGAUCCAAUAUGCCCAAAACUUAAACAAUGUAUCAUGAUGCAACAAGUAAUGCUAUAAAGUGUGAUAUAUAUUCUAGAGCCCACUACAUAUCUAGUAUGUACUAUCAUAGCAACCAAGAAUACUACAAUGUAAUAAGCGAUACUGUCAAGCAUACUCUAAGCCCAAAUGUCCAACACUAUGCCAUAGCAUAUCAAGAGUCCAACUACUAUAACCUAGCUAGUAGCGAAUGUCCACUUAUUGCUUAAUAUUCUGGUUCAAUCUCAAUCAGGAUCUACACAGGUGUAGUCCGGCUUGUGCCGCCUAAGUGCCAGUGGUAGCUCCAGCAUUCCCACUCUAGGAAUGAGUCUAUCCCUCCAGGCCCCGUAGGCUACUCGAUACCGCACGGGCGAACAUAAGUCGCGUAGGCUAACUCCGGAGUGCCGGCUUGUGGGGAGCGACCCUCACAAGCAUGUGCGUAUGAGCACAAAUGGCAAGCAAGCAUGGUCAAAACCUCAAUAGUCCAAUCGUCAUGUCUCCAACAUGGAAAUGCAACUCAACAGUCAUCAUGUCUCUAACAUGGAAAUGCACACUAGCAACCCCAGUGUCUAGUCUAUGCCUCAAGUGAAGGUUUAACCGUUCGAUAAUUCAAUGUCAAUGACCUUAGCUUUACUAAGUCCAAAACUCAAGGUGAAGUUCCCACAUUCACUAUGUUUAGUGCCUCUUUAUGACACUUAAACAUUGCUAUAAUCUAAGCUCAAUUCACAUUCUAUGUCUCUUUAUGACGCUAGCUUGUUCUAUCAAUAAUAGAUUAAUACACAUGCUCUCUAGCGUGUUCUCAUAUUGCUACAUGUAAGUUCUUUCCAAUGCGACUAUUAACUUGGCAUAAUUCUCAUAAUAAUAGCAUGCACAUGCAAUUUGCAUAUCCAUCAAGUCUAAUGCCGCUUUAUGACAUUAGCUUGCUAAACUCAUAUCUAGUCCAAGCCUAAUGCCGCUUUAUGACAUUAGCUUACUAUUUGUAUACACUCUAGCCUAUGUCACUUAAUGUCGAUAUGUCCAACCACGUCAAUCAUGCGUUCUAAGUCCAAGAGUGUAAUCUAUAUGCCAUAUGUACCAUAUGCAACAUGAUCUCAAUCAAUUGUAAGAAUGCUAACCGUAGGCCCCUAGCCCAACAUGAAAACUCUCUACUAUAUAGAGGUCAAAUAUGCAUUGUAUAUAACAUGUGCAUUUUAAGCAUUCUAAAAUUCACAAAUAAUGCAUCUAACACAAAUAUGCAUGCUUUUCAAUUUACAACACUUAAACCAUCAACAAUGAGAUUUUCUCAUUGUGUGGCUAGGCCAAACCCACCGAACCGUCGUGUAGUCCCUCGUUUUGCCGAACGGAGUUGUCCACGAGUCUCAAAAUACCCUAAAAGUAAUGAGCGAAGGGAUACACAAGGAUUACGAACAACGAAUAGGUUAAACAUUAACCAACUCAAAGAAAGGGCCAAAACUCACCUAUGGUGGUGAAAAUCCCUCACAAGCUCCAAAUGGAAGCUAGAUCCCUUCCAAUGCAACCUAGAUAAAGGUUCUAAUCCAAUCAAUUUAGCUCAAAAGGCCCAAGAAUCAAAAUGCCCAAAAUCAACCCUAAACUCACAUUCUAGGGUUUCAUCUCAAAUCCACCAUCAAAAUACAAAUCAAGAGGAGAGAACAAGCAUCUAACCUCUUAAGAAGCUCCCAACAAGGCCCCAAACCAACUAGGGUUGAAGUUCUCCUCUCCAAUGAGCUCCUCUCCAAGAUCCAAGCCUCCAACAAUGGUGGGAAAUGCUCUAAAAGGCAAAAGAGAGCAAAAACCACCUAAAAACCAAGAAAAAGGAAGAUGAAAUCCAAAAUGAGGCAAGGAGGAGCUCUCUCACCUGUUUCCUCUGAGUUCUGGGCUCAGGAAACCAAAGGGGAGGCGUGGGGUAUCAUAUAGAGGUGCAACAAUGCAAAAACACCCCUGCAGUUCGAACUGUUCGAAAACUGCCAAAGUGUACCGGUACACGGGAAAGUGUACCGGUACAAAUCCCACGAAAAUGCAAACCCGAGGCUCGGGUUUGAAAUUCGGCACAAGUGUACCGGUACAGCCAUCAAAAGUGUACCGGUACAAAAUGUGUACCGGUACAACCAUCGACAUGUCACCGGUUACACCUCGUGCAGAAUGCAAUCCGAGGGUAGGCUAAGUCCAACUCUUUAGUGACCUUAGCGCUACAUAAAAAUACUACAAUUCUCGGGAUAUGAGCCAUAGGUCGGAACACUGUCUACGACCCUCCAGAAAGUCUGGAAUAAACUCAAAACACAAGUGAAACACUCGAACCUUGCUAUUUGCGAAAGUCCAGUGUGUUACAUUCUCCCCUCCUAAAAAGGGGUUUCGUCCGAGAAACUGCGGGUCAGCCACACAACAAACCCAUCCGAAGAUGAUGGAAGAAGCGCUCCAGCAGCGCCCAAAACAGACCAUGAUGGUCUCAAGUGUGCCGGAAAACUCCAAGGCACAAACACAACAAGAUCUCGCGACGCCAAGGCUUUGGCAUAACACAACCCAAACUUCCGCAUAAGCUCCUUGAACUCAAGCCUUCACCGAAAGUUCCAUCUCCAAUCCGCACUUGAUCGACACGUCCAUCAGUUGGCCCUCACGAACCCAAGUGUUUCCGAAAGCUGAAUUCCAACUCUCACCUUCCUCGUCCAAGUCGAGGGUAAAGCCUUGCUCUGCUUCGAUUACUCUAGUAUAUAGAAUUCCAUCCAAAUCCCCCUCAAGUGUGGAUUCCACGGUGCUAACCAAAGCAAGCGUCAGGGGAGGGGGGGUUAAAUCCAUUACUCCUCUAUCGGAACUCCAUCGGAGUGCUCAUCUGAUCAACACUCACCAAGGGGAGGUGAUGCACAGUCCACUCGUAGGCUCUUAUUCCAACGAUGACCCUUCAAAUCCGAGGUCAACUCUCUUUUCGAGAUGGCACAAUUGAGUGCAAUUCAAUCCAAGGUUAAGUAUGGUGUACCCCUUCCAUCUCGUUGCUAAUUGCAACUUCCACCCAUCUAUCCAAUCUUGCUUGGCACGAACGGUUCUAAACCAACAUCCAAGGUAGCCAACCUUCCAAUAGUAAUAGGAAUCGACCCAUCGUCCAAACUCGCUCAUAAUGACGAUUAUUUAAUUCCUCAAUCGGCACGGCGAUACGACGUCUCCACAUCAAUCUCAAACUCACCACUCGGGAGUACCCUCGAAUCCAUUGCAAUAUGAGAUCGGGAACUAAGCUCAAAGGCUUCAUCAAUCCACUAAGUUCAUCAUAAUAGUCCCAACUCAAGUCCAAGUAAACUCUUGCAAGCCUAGGCCAAGGGCCUAGCUUCAACAGAAGGUCCAUAACACGACCGCUCGGAAAUUUUUGAUCUCAAUGCUUUCCCUAGCAUUGGAUGCUCCAGGUGUCCAUGGCCACCGAACUCAAUUCAUGUGAUAGAGAGGGAUCAAUCCAUAGUUCAGUAAUAGCUCUCUAUCAAAGUCGUCCUGAUGCGACUGUCAAACCAAAGUCAAUCCCAUAAGUCCUCAUAUGCAGUUCUAUCCCGAAGAACUCAAAUCCUUGUACAUGCUCCUGACACGGGAAAUUAGUAACCUGGUACCUUCCCUCCCGCGAGUUUUCCAUCCAUCAGUGAGAGUUCCACAACCCGAUCACUUCAAAUCUGCCUAGCAGUCUAAUCGCACACAUCCUAUAAGAAUACCCCAAGUCAUUCGCGACUGGUUCCACAAAUCCACACAGAGGACUCGAAAUUAUCAUUUCGCAAAUCCUUCCACUGGUGGAGUACUACAGGCAUAGGCAACAUCACCCUCGUGAUGUCACCAUCAAACAUCACAACCCGUUUGAGGUAUGACCUCAAACUCCAGUAUCAGACAGUACUACUCAGAUUGCUCACAAUCUUAUCGAGUACACCAACAACUCAAGGCCAUUUGACAAGGUCAAUGAGCCUCAGCAACGGUCCAAACCUCCAAUCGUGAUUCAAUUUGAAUGACGAGAGUAGACAUACAGUCAAAAUGGCCCAACCGGCCCCACAACAAGUGAGAGUGCUCCGUCACGAAACAAAACACCAAUCAUAGUACCUCCCCGGCAAUCGAGCUAUCUAUUAGUGACUCGAUCGGGGACAUAACGACCGAUCAAGGACAUCCUUUAUUUCAAGGAUUCUCGACCACCCAAAGCUAAUGGCCACUCAGGCCCUAAACCCUCUCCAACACUUACCCAAUUUUAGGUAAGGGAGACAAUCAACACAUCUAGCGGAAGUAAAUCCUCAAAUCGCACUAUUUCGUGCACACAGUCCUCAAGGCGAGUCAAGUCAGCUCGCAAACCAAGGGUACCAGGUACCCACAACAACUCCACACCAAGGAAGGCCAAUCUAUUUGUUGGCACACAGAACCAUCUCACGGGGUAGGGCGUUCAAAACGACACACCCGAUCAACCGAUCAUCCACACGCGCCAAAGGCUCAACGCUAACAAAUCCUCGGGUUGGGUAACUACACACUCAGUGUGUCCUCGAUCUCACGAUCCAACACGUGGCUUUCCACGCUCCAGGGUCCAGGCUCGGACUACCAUCCUGACCAAAACUCUGCCCUACCAACAGGUACCGGGCCGCUGUCACACACAGCCGACUGCGCCUGCCCAACGGGCCCAGGCUCCACAGUCCCCAAAUGGUCCAGGCACGGUCGUCUCCAAGCCCCAUCCGGCAAACAGCCGAGCCAGGGAUACAACUAAUGCAAUCCUCGUGAGAUCUACAAGCAUAGCAAAAUAUGCUACCCGCAACCCGCAAAUCAAUCGCCUAGCUCGAGGGGCUACACAAUGUCGCAAACAUCGAACUAACGAAAUGCCAUGCAACUCGGCGAAUAGCCGAUCAGAAUAUAGAUGCAAUGCACCAAUAGCAAACAAUGCACAACUCAAAUGCCACAAGAGGGACUGAUACCUGAAAUCACAAACUCGGCCACUGCUGCCUCCUCCACCUGGCUGCAUACAUGCGCCCACUCGGGCCUACCGUGACCCCUCCGUCUGUCUCUGGACAAGUGGCCUCCCGGCCUGAUAGUGAGAAAAAGGCGUCCCCUGGCUGGGACUCGGUAAUACUGGUGCCGGUGCUGAAGAUGGAGCUGAUACCAAACCUCUCGGACAGUCUGACUGGAAGUGACCCUCCUGGCCACACGAAUAGCACCUGCCCUGCCUCUGUGAGCACUGCUGCGGGUAAUGACGGCCACCGCAAAUCACGCAGCUCAGAGUCUGACGACGCUCAGAUCCUCCACGCCGUGCUACUGAUGAGCCACGUCCUCGCGACUGGCUCUGGUUCCUGGAAUGUCUCGACGGCCUCCCAGAGUACGUCUGACUCGCACCCUCAGUCGCGGGCCUCUUGCCUUUUCCUUUGUUUGAGCCUUCUCGACGCUCCUGCAAGUCUGCCGCGCAGCUUUCCACAAUGAGCACGCGGUUCACCACAUCUUGGCAAGUCCGAGGAUUGGAGAGUUGCACCAACUGAUAGAUCGACGGCCGAAGUCCUCGCUCGAAGAUGCGGGCCUUAUCCUCGUCGUCCCGCACGACAAAGGGCGCGUAGUGUAGAAGCCGAGAGAACUCCCUCUCAUACUCGGCCACGGUCCAAUCCCCCUGGCGCAUCUCGCGCAGAUCCUGCUCCAUCUUCCUCGUAACACGGACGAGGAAGUAGUGCUCCAAUAAGAGCUCCUUGAAUCUCUUCCAAGAAAUCGCUGCUAGGUCGGUGUUGGGAUUAUCCUGGAUGCCCACCCACCAACUAUAGGCCUCGUCGUCUAAAUAGUGAGUGGCGAGCCAAACUCUACCUCUCUCCUCCACGAAGGUGUCGCGGAAUAACUUCUCCAUGUGCAUCAACCACUUCUCAACGAUCCAGUGGUCGGCUUUCUCUCCAUCGUAGAUCCUGGGAUCGCACCUCCUGAACUCGUCGAGGCGAUCCAUGAGCCGCUGACGCUCCGCUCUUUCAACCAUCAAGGGAAAAGUCGCCGCUGCCACAGGCACCUGAGCUGGUGGUGCUGCCAAUACCUCCUCCCGAAGGCUACCGUAAGUGUCGUCUGCGAAGUGUCGAGUACAGGGGACGACCCCCCGGGCACAACUGUCUCCACUGGCGCGGGUAGUACAGAGACCUAAGCCUCUCUGGCAGCUGCCUGCUGUAAAAGAAGGUCCUCCAGGCGCUGCAUCCAUACCUCCUGCCGGCGUGCUGUAUCCACCAGCUGUCGAGUCGUCGCCGCCUGCUAUGUUACGAAAUCAGCGAGGGCCGCAAGCUGACUCCUCAACUCACGGACCUCACCGGAUCCGGGGGUAGCGGAUGUCUCCGCUUCCUCAAAAGUCGCCGCAUCGUCCGCUCUAACAGACUUAGAGCGUGUAGCCGGCAUCAACACUACAACAUCAUAAUAGCGCAAGUUAAUAUAACCCACACUAUCGGAACCCCGCUCAAAUGACAAUACCCCAAAUCAUGCGAAAGUAAAGAAGUGUCCCAACUACUAACUCCCGAUGUUACGUUGUCGGCCGCCAACGUAACCCUCCGCGAAGUUAGAAGCCAUACACUUCGAUCGAACUCGAACCUUCUUGGAGUUAUCAAAGAAACCCAAUCAUGAUACUUUCGCUCAUAAAUUAAAUAGACCUCGUCUCUCACGAGUCUAAUUCCUAUAGUCCAACAAAUCGACUUAGCUUUACUAAGUCCAAAGCUCAAGGUGAAGUUCCCACAUUCACUAUGUUUAGUGCCCUCUUUAUGACACUUAAUAUUGCUAUAAUCUAAGCUCAAUUCACAUUCUAUGUUCUCUUUAUGACGCUAGCUUGUUCUAUCAAUAAUAGAUUAAUACACAUGCUCUCUAGCGUGUUCUCAUAUUGCUACAUGUAAGUUCAUCCCAAUGCGACUAUUAACUUAGCAAAUUCUCAUAAUAAUAACAUGCACAUGCAUUUGCAUAUCCAUCAAGUCUAAUGCCGCUUUAUGACAAUUAGCUUGCUAAAUCCAUAUCUUAGUCCAAGCCUAAUGCCGCUUUAAUGACAUUAGCUUACUAUUUGUAUACACUCUAGCCUAUUCACUUAAUGUCGAUAUAUCCAACCGCGUCAAUCAUGCGUUCUAAGUCCAAGAGUGUAAUCUAUAUGCCAUAUUGUACCAUAUGCAACAUGAUCUCAAUCAAUUGUAAGAAUGCUAAUCGUAGUCCCUAGCCCAACAUGAAAACUCUCUACUAUAUAUGAGGUUCGAAAAUGCAUUAUACAUAACUGUGCGUAUUUUAAGCAUUCUAAAAUUCACAAUUGAUCAUCUAGCAUAAUAUGCAAGCAUUUUCAUUUUAGGAUAAAUAAAACCAUCAUAAGAGAAUUUUGUUUCAUUUGGUGAGGCCAAACCCCACGAACCGUCGUGUAGUCCCUCGUUUUGCCGAACGGAGUUGUCCACGAGUCUCAAAAUACCCUAAAAAGUAAUGAGCGAAGGAUACACAAGGAUACGAACAACGAAUAGGUUAAACAUUAACAACUCAAUGAAAGGGCCAAACUCACCUAUGGUGGUGAAAAUCCCUCUCAAGCUCCAAAAGAGAGCUAAAUCCCUUUCAAUGCAACCUAGAUAAAGGUUCUAAUCCAAUCAAU
Molecule: long non-coding RNA, 8048 nt
Filed under: Ananas comosus (pineapple)
Lineage: Eukaryota; Viridiplantae; Streptophyta; Magnoliopsida; Poales; Bromeliaceae
Description: long non-coding RNA (ACOM_LNC026900)
Source: RNAcentral